UACAGGGGGGGCAAGCGUUGUUCGGAAUUACUGGGCGUAAAGGGCUCGUAGGCGGCCAACUAAGUCCGACGUGAAAUCCCAAAGCUUAACUUUGGAACUGCGUCGGAUACUGGAUGGCUUGAAUUCGGGAGAGGGAUGCAGAAUUCCAGGUGUAGCGGUGAAAUGCGUAGAUAUCUGGGGGAAUACCGGUGGCGAAGGCGGCAUCCUGGACCGACAUUGACGCUGAUGAGCGAAAGCUAGGGGAGCAAACGGG
This 253-nucleotide ribosomal RNA is filed under the name uncultured bacterium. RNAcentral's name for it is "partial 16S ribosomal RNA". It matches the Rfam family "Bacterial small subunit ribosomal RNA", at positions 524 to 776 of the family's 1533-position model. The record is from RNAcentral.